CCUACGGGAGGCAGCAGUGGGGAAUAUUGGGCAAUGGAGGCAACUCUGACCCAGCAACGCCGCGUGAAUGAUGAAGGUCUUCGGAUUGUAAAGCUCUUUUCUAAGGGAAGAAGAAAGUGAUGGUACCUUAGGAAUAAGCCUCGGCUAACUACGUGCCAGCAGCCGCGGUAAUACGUAGGAGGCAAGCGUUAUCCGGAAGGACUGGGCGUAAAGGGUGCGUAGGUGGUUUGAAAAGUUAGUAGCGAAACUCCGGAGCUCAACUUCGGAACUACUACUAAAACGGUUGGACUUGAGUUCAGGAGGGGCAAUCGGAAGUCCUAGUGUAGCGGUGGAAUGCGUAGAUAUUAGGAGGAACACCAGUGGCGAAGGCGGAUUGCUGGACUGUAACUGACACUGAGGCACGAAAGCGUGGGGAGCAAACAGGAGUAGAUACCCGUGUAGUC
This 443-nucleotide ribosomal RNA is filed under the name uncultured bacterium. Its description in RNAcentral is "partial 16S ribosomal RNA". It matches the Rfam family "Bacterial small subunit ribosomal RNA", at positions 338 to 795 of the family's 1533-position model. The record is from RNAcentral.